AAGUCGUAACAAGGUUUCCGUAGGUGAACCUGCGGAAGGAUCAUUAUUGAAUAACUUUGGUUGGUUGUAGCUGGCUUUUCGAAGCAUGUGCACACCUUCCAUCUUUAUCUAUCAUCCACCUGUGCACCUUUUGUAGUCUUAUGAAAUGAGAACAAUGGACCCCUCGAUAAGGUGAAUUCACCUUUCGGAUGUGGCGAAUGCUAUGCGAAAGUGUGGCUCUCUCCAAAAUACUUGUAAUCAUUUCUUGGACUAUGUAUUUUCAUAUACCAUGUAGUAUGUUGCAGAAUGUAUCAAUUGGGACUCAGUUCCUAUAAAACACAAUACAACUUUCAGCAACGGAUCUCUUGGCUCUCGCAUCGAUGAAGAACGCAGCGAAAUGCGAUAAGUAAUGUGAAUUGCAGAAUUCAGUGAAUCAUCGAAUCUUUGAACGCACCUUGCGCUCCUUGGUAUUCCGAGGAGCAUGCCUGUUUGAGUGUCAUUAAAUUCUCAACUACACUAAGUUUUACAACUUGGUUGUGGCUUGGAUGUUGGGGGUACACCUGCGGGCCUCUGUCAUUGAGGUCGGCUCCCCUGAAAUACAUUAGCAGAACUGUUUGCGGUCUGUCACCGGUGUGAUAAUUAUCUACGCCCAAGACAAUGGCUGCUCUCUAUGUGUUCAGCUUCAAAUCGUCCAUUUGUGGACAACUUUUGAAUAUUUGACCUCAAAUCAGGUAGGACUACCCGCUGAACUUAAGCAUAUCAAUAAGCGGAGGAAAAGAAACUAACAAGGAUUCCCCUAGUAACUGCGAGUGAAGCGGGAAAAGCUCAAAUUUAAAAUCUGGCAGUCUUUGGCUGUCCGAGUUGUAAUCUAGAGAA
This 855-nucleotide unclassified non-coding RNA is filed under the name uncultured Lepiota. Its description in RNAcentral is "sequence contains ITS1, 5.8S rRNA gene and ITS2". The stretch from base 325 to 478 matches the Rfam family "5.8S ribosomal RNA". Lineage: Eukaryota; Fungi; Basidiomycota; Agaricomycetes; Agaricales; Agaricaceae. The record is from RNAcentral.